CAGAGAGAGGGGAGCUGGAACAUGUUAGGGCCCCCGAAAGCCAAGAUACCCCAGAGCCCAGGAAUCUGAGAAGAGUCCACGUUGAGGGCAGCGUUCGCCUGCGUUCUCUGCCAAGGGGCUGUGGAUUUCGGGACUGAGCACCGUGUCCCGGGACCUCAUCCCCAGGAGGCAGGGCCAUGGGACAGCCCCCAGCGCCAGCCGUGUGGAAUGUGCCACUCUUGGAACUGAGGCUCUCGGUUUUUAAAAUUGGCUUGUAAAUCUCCGUGUAGUUUUCAGGCUUUAGGAAUUUUAUUUUAUCUGGAUUAAAGUCAUGUUCUGCUUUGGCAUAGGAAGGCGUUUAUGACUGUUAAAACAAGAAAUGAAAAAUAUAGGCCUGCAAUCAGCCGGGCUGCCUCCUGCCAGAGUCUAGGGAUUUGUCUUGGGGGCCAGGCUGAAGGUUUGCUGCCCUUCUCCCCGCACUGCUCUGUGUUUCUCCAGAAAGCUGGAGCUGGCUGCCUGGGAGCGGCUGUCGCGAUGGCUGGGAGGGCCUCAGGAACGAAGCCUUUGUCUUUGCUCAGGUGUGUUCUCACAAUGGGGAGCCACGGCCCUCCCCAAGGACCAGCGAGCAAUGGGCGCAUCUCAUUCGCUGCCUGCAUUUGCCCCCGCCCAUCCAAGAGAGCAGAAUCAGAGAGGGCCAGCCGCGAGUCACGGAGGACAAGAACUGAACGACUUCAUUGCCAUUCAUUGGGUCGCCAUAUUUGCACUGGCAACGAAACCCCCAGGAUACCCCUUGCCCUGGCAAUCAGUGUCCUAGGCAAAUGGAGAACAUUAAGAAGUCACUGCACAGCCGAGCAUAACAUGCCUCGCUCUCUUUCACACAGACACACCAAGUCAGCAUUUCAAUUCAAGAAAGCUCCCAAGACAGAGGUGACACAGAAACACACUUUGGGGGGAAACUUCCCCCUUCCCUGGAAUAGGAUACCAUAUGUGUGACUCCCUCUCAGGGUCAGUAUGGCUGGAACAUGCCAUUUCUCCUCUAUCCAGUUACCCUACAUUCGACUCUGUCACUGUGACACCAUAUGCUGCCGGAACAACACAUCCUCAUUCCUUGGAAUAAAAAGGUCUUUCAUAAGACUUAUUAAGUCUGAAUCUUAAUCAUAGUCAUCAUUAUUCAGUCUGCUUGCUGUCCACAAUAUUGAAAUGAAGGGAAACAAGAAAUAGAAAAAGACAAGUUUACAAUCUUCAAGACACCAAUGAAUAAGAAACGAUGGCGAAGAAAGCAAGAGUGACCUCAAAAAAAGAAACGUCUUAAAGUGUAAAAAAAAAAAAUCCACAAAUAGACUCUUAGCUUUCAAUAUUAGUCUUUACUUUAAAAAUAAGGGGAGGGAUGAUUAAAGAGAUGAAUUCACAUUUGAAUAGAAUCCAAAUGACUUAAGAACUAUUUGGAUCCGAAUAUUUCAGUUGGACAAGGAAUGAUAUUAAAGUUAUGUGAUACAUUAG
This 1479-nucleotide long non-coding RNA is filed under the name Equus caballus (horse). RNAcentral's name for it is "lncRNA (ENSECAG00000036023.3)". The record is from RNAcentral. Lineage: Eukaryota; Metazoa; Chordata; Mammalia; Perissodactyla; Equidae.